UACGGCCAUAUAACAUCCUAAUACCUAUUCUCGUAAGAUCACCGAAGUUAAGCAAAGUUGAGUGUGGCCAGUAUCUAGAUAGGUGACCGCUUGGGAAUACCAG
Non-coding RNA from Acanthosepion pharaonis, 103 nucleotides. Lineage: Eukaryota; Metazoa; Mollusca; Cephalopoda; Sepiida; Sepiidae. The record is from the annotation of a GenBank genome assembly.